UCUCUGUCUCUACUCGCCUCCAACUGUGAAAUACGAGAGAGAGAGAGCUUAGAAUAUCGAAGAACUUUCUCUCUCUAACCCGCUUUCUCUCUCCUUUUUCCGAAGCCAUGGCUUUCGAGAAGAUCCAUGUCCAGAAUCCAAUCGUUGAAAUGGACGGUGAUGAGAUGACCCGAAUUAUCUGGCAAAUGAUAAAGGACAAGCUUAUUUUCCCAUUCCUUGAAUUGGAUAUCAAGUAUUUUGAUUUGGAUCUUAUGAGCCGUGAUGCUACUGAUGAUCGAAUCACAGUUGAAAGUGCUGAAGCAACCCUAAAGUAUAAUGUGGCCAUCAAAUGUGCAACUAUAACUCCAGAUGAAGCUCGUGUUAAGGAAUUUGGCUUAAAAGCCAUGUGGAGGAGUCCUAAUGGCACAAUUAGGAACAUAUUAAAUGGUACUGUCUUUAGAGAGCCCAUUAUGUGCAAGAACAUCCCUCGUCUUGUUCCAGGAUGGACAAAGCCUAUAUGCAUUGGAAGGCAUGCUUUUGGUGACCAAUACAAAGCAACUGAUACAGUGAUAAGAGGCCCUGGAAAGUUGAAAUUGGUUUAUGUUCCACAUGGUGAGGGAGAAAAGACUGAAUUAGAGGUGUUUGACUUCAAAGGGGCUGGUGGAGUUGCUUUGUCCAUGUACAACACAGAUGAGUCUAUUGGUGCCUUUGCGGAUUCCUCAAUGACUGUGGCAUAUGAGAAGAAGUGGCCACUCUAUCUCAGUACCAAGAACACGAUCUUAAAGAAAUAUGAUGGGAGGUUCAAGGAUAUCUUUCAGGAGGUGUAUGAAUCACAAUGGAAGUCUAAGUUUGAGGCUGCAGGGAUCUGGUAUGAACAUAGACUUAUUGACGAUAUGGUAGCUUAUGCUCUCAAGAGCGAAGGUGGUUAUGUAUGGGCCUGCAAGAAUUAUGAUGGUGAUGUUCAGAGUGAUUUCUUAGCUCAAGGGUUUGGGUCACUCGGAAUGAUGACAUCUGUUCUGGUGUGCCCUGAUGGGAAGACCAUUGAAGCCGAAGCUGCACAUGGCACAGUUACUCGCCACUAUCGUGUCCAUCAGAAGGGUGGAGAAACAAGCACGAAUAGCAUUGCCUCCAUAUUUGCAUGGUCCAGGGGACUCGCCCACAGGGCAAAACUGGAUGACAACGCAAGGUUGAAGGAGUUUGCAGAGAAGCUGGAAGCUGCAUGUGUGGGGACAGUGGAGUCUGGGAAGAUGACCAAGGAUCUUGCUCUUAUCAUCCAUGGUUCCAAGGUGACUAGAGAGCAUUAUUUGAACACUGAGGAAUUCAUCGAUGCAGUGGCUGACGACCUCAAAUGCAGGCUUUCCCCCAAGCCAAAGUUGUAACUCGGUCAUAAAUCGUAGUUCUCUUGUGAUACUUGGCUUUAAAAAUAAAGAAAAUACUGAUUAUUAAACACUUGAAUGAAAAUCAAGAAAACAAAAUAAAGGGUCGAGUGCUGGGACCUCGUGGUUUGGAGCUCUUCGUCUCAACCAUGAGGUGCGUAUGAGCUUGUGCCCUGUUUUGCUCAAGCGUAGUAUGGAGCUGUUCUUGGCAAUGUGGAAUUGAGGUGGGAUUAUGGUUUUCCUUAAUGAAAAUGAGAUAAGCAAUUAUCUUUGUUUUCGUAAUUUAUUACGAACUCUUUUGGUUCUCUUGCAAGGGUUUUGAUUCUCUCUCUUGCUCGUUUCUCAAUCAUAUAUUUCUGUUCUACUCACUUGUGACUCGCUCUACAAAUGCUCUUCCCCCAUACUCUCUCUCUGUCUCAAUAUUUAGAAAGUGGGUAUAUUUUGGUAGAUUGCUAAGAAUUUUGCUAUGUAACUCAUGAGAUUGGCUGAAGUUUUUCCUACUAAGUAGGAUGCUACUUGUUCUUUGCAUCAUUUAAGUGGCCUCAUGGCUAUGAAAUAAAAGAUAUUUUGGAACCAA
This is an RNA transcript of Amborella trichopoda, 1932 nucleotides long. It is a transcript of the gene named isocitrate dehydrogenase [NADP], with no coding region annotated. Lineage: Eukaryota; Viridiplantae; Streptophyta; Magnoliopsida; Amborellales; Amborellaceae. The record is from RefSeq and is a predicted model, not a curated record.